RNAcentral lists this ribosomal RNA (164 nucleotides) under Rhododendron meridionale. Its description in RNAcentral is "5.8S ribosomal RNA". It matches the Rfam family "5.8S ribosomal RNA". Rfam says of the family: 5.8S ribosomal RNA (5.8S rRNA) is a component of the large subunit of the eukaryotic ribosome. It is transcribed by RNA polymerase I as part of the 45S precursor that also contains 18S and 28S rRNA. The record is from RNAcentral. Lineage: Eukaryota; Viridiplantae; Streptophyta; Magnoliopsida; Ericales; Ericaceae.
UAAACUACUCUCGGCAACGGAUAUCUCGGCUCUUGCAUCGAUGAAGAACGUAGCGAAAUGCGAUACUUGGUGUGAAUUGCAGAAUCCCGUGAACCAUCGAGUCUUUGAACGCAAGUUGCGCCUGAAGCCAUUAGGUUGAAGGCACGUCUGCCUGGGCGUCACGC